This 218-nucleotide long non-coding RNA is filed under the name Amborella trichopoda. RNAcentral describes it as "long non-coding RNA (ATRI_LNC003253)". The record is from RNAcentral. Lineage: Eukaryota; Viridiplantae; Streptophyta; Magnoliopsida; Amborellales; Amborellaceae.
UUUUUCAUUGUUCAUGAAAUUUUUGGAACCCCUGCAGGGUCGAAUCAUUGUUUCUCUCUCAUCGCAUAAAACCAGAAAUUUCACCUCAAAUUGCAAAUUUCUCGAAUUUCUCAUGAAACCUUAGAGCAACAAGGCCCUGUAGAGAGAGAUUUUUCUCCAAUAUCAUUAAAAGUCACUUUCGAAAAUCCUAAUCAUCAUCAAGCUACUUUUGAUCGGCU